Molecule: ribosomal RNA, 253 nt
Filed under: uncultured bacterium
Lineage: Bacteria
Description: partial 16S ribosomal RNA
Rfam family: Bacterial small subunit ribosomal RNA
Source: RNAcentral
UACGUAGGGUGCAAGCGUUAAUCGGAAUUACUGGGCGUAAAGGGUGCGCAGGCGGUUCUGUAAGUCAGAUGUGAAAUCCCCGGGCUUAACCUGGGAAUUGCGUUUGAAACUACAGAGCUGGAGUGUGGCAGAGGGGGGUGGAAUUCCAUGUGUAGCGGUGAAAUGCGUAGAGAUGUGGAGGAACACCGACGGCGAAGGCAGCCUCCUGGGCCAACACUGACGCUCAUGCACGAAAGCGUGGGGAGCAAACAGG